UACGAAGGGGGCUAGCGUUGUUCGGAAUUACUGGGCGUAAAGGGCGCGUAGGCGGUGUGUCAAGUCAGGCGUGAAAGCCCCGGGCUCAACCUGGGAACCGCGCUUGAGACUGGCACGCUCGAGUUCGGGAGAGGAUGGUGGAAUUCCCAGUGUAGAGGUGAAAUUCGUAGAUAUUGGGAAGAACACCGAAGGCGAAGGCAGCCAUCUGGACAGACACUGACGCUGAGGCGCGAAAGCGUGGGGAGCAAACAGG
This 253-nucleotide ribosomal RNA is filed under the name uncultured bacterium. RNAcentral's name for it is "partial 16S ribosomal RNA". It matches the Rfam family "Bacterial small subunit ribosomal RNA", at positions 524 to 776 of the family's 1533-position model. The record is from RNAcentral.